GCAGACACAUUCCAGCCAAUCAGCAGCAGACCCUCCCUCCCAGACCCUCCCACCUCCUGGACAGCAUCCAUUUUACAUUCAUUGUGAAGCUGCAUUCUUAGUGAGCUGUCCAGGAGGUGGGAGGGUCUGGGAGGGAGGGUCUGCUGCUGAUUGGCUGGAAUGUGUCUG
Molecule: non-coding RNA, 168 nt
Organism: Pelobates cultripes (western spadefoot toad)
Lineage: Eukaryota; Metazoa; Chordata; Amphibia; Anura; Pelobatidae
Source: the annotation of a GenBank genome assembly